Molecule: long non-coding RNA, 1316 nt
Organism: Cervus elaphus (red deer)
Lineage: Eukaryota; Metazoa; Chordata; Mammalia; Artiodactyla; Cervidae
Exons: 3
Source: RefSeq, a predicted model, not a curated record
GAAUAGAUGAGGGCAGUCAAGAGGACAUUAAUCCAUGAUGUCUACAUUUUCACCAUUGCCGAGAUUUUGUUGAUGAUGAGGAUGUUGCUUCAAAAAUUCAGGCUGGAGUUGGGAUAAGUUGCUGAAUUCUCUGAUGUGACCAUAGUUUCACAGAAGACACCAGUCAACUCUAACACAAACAGUUCCCACAAACAAAGUGAUUAUUCGUCCUCUAACAGACCUUGAAGUGAGGGACCUAGAUUAUAAAACCCAGGCAAGGAGAACACCUUCCAGAAUCCAGAUAGGUACUCACAGCCCAGUUGGAGAGGCAAGGCCGGGCACUAGCUCUGGCCGCUGUCAGCUGUCCUGCCAAGACACAAGCUGCUAAGCAGGACUGGCUCCAUAAUUUGCAGGCCCAGUGCGAAAUGAAAACAAGGGGCCCCUCGUUCAAGAUUUAUUAACAAUUUCAAGACAGUGAGAGCAGAAAGUUAAACCAAGUACAGGACCCGUCUAAGCCUGAGGAGGCCUGUCAGAGCCCUGCUGCCCCUGCAACAUGGCAGACAAGACAACUGGGUUCCCAGGGCCCUAACUCCAGAGGAAUGGCCAGAACUGGAGAACAUUCCAGGAAGCAAACAGGAGCUGCAGUCUGAAGAUUAGAGACUGAAGGCCAAGAUAGCAGAAUAGCUACUGAAACUGAGGACCCUGGGAUCCUCAGAAGAAAGCAAACUGUUCAGGGCAACAAACAGGUGGCCUGGGCAGGAGAUAAUCAAUGUGGGGGCUGAAAGCAGAUCCAGUUCUUAACAGGAUGGUCUAUUGAAGGCCACUGAUGAAGAAAUUGGCCCAGUUCUUGAAGAAAGGUGAAGGACUCGGCAAAACAGCCAAUAAGGAGUGUCUGCAGAAGAGAUAAGUUUAAUAUCUAGGUUCGCCCUGGGCUUGUAACAAGGAGGUAGAGUUCACUGAUCUAGACUUUGUCCAGCCAUUUCGGCAAUUUCUGAGGAACUUGGGAACGCAGGGAGAGGCACAAAGGACUGAUGGGAUGAUGGAGGCCUUUGCCGAGGGACAGUGUUAUCAAGAAGGUUUUAGUGCCCAGAUGCUGCUAUCCUCCCCUUUGCACAUCUUGUUGAAUACCAGCUAGAAGCCCCAAGUCAUAGAGAAGCCCGCAGGAGAAAGGUUCACUGCCAUGAACAGAGCCAUCAGUGAUGGACGAGCAACUCUAGAAGCUGUCAUUUCUCAAAUUAACAUUAACCACGUUUGCCUCUCACUUGCUUCUUCCCAGUUCCCAUUUUUCACACACACAAAAAACGUAGGUAACUAACGUGUAAUACCCAAGAGCUUUC